UUUGGCGAGGCAGUUGGUUUCGCGUUGUGGUAGAAUGAAGAUCGCUGCUAGCGUGCAUUCUUCUGUCGAGGUAUACGCAAGGGUAUGACCUGAGAACUUUGUGGCUUUCACGACAAAAAAAGAGGCAUCGUCAAUCGUUAAGUGUGUUUCUAUCUCGCGAUAUCAGGGCUUGCUACUGCAAGAUUUUACACCAAACAACGAUAAAAGAUUGCUCCUGCCACGAUUCCUUUUGGUGUAUUUUGAAGACAGUUUUCUCAACCAAUCCACCAAUCUACAGAUAUUUUUAUUUUGCCAAUAACUCCGGAUUACGCGUUCGUGUUCUUUCCGAUUGUGGCAAGACAAUCUGGUCACCCUGACUAUUUGUCAGACUGACCGCACAUGACAGACUGAUCGACAGAGAAUACACUACAACAAAAACAACACAAUCGAGUAAGCGUCGUAGAAAAGCCGCUAAAAUUUCGCAUCAAGUCCAUUCCUGCAAAAAAAAAACGUUCACAAGUAAUAGAAACAACGAAAUUAGACUCGUUUUCGUGUAAUCUAAAACUGUGCGAUCGCUAUAACGCCAAAAAAUGAACCACUUCUUCGAUUACGACGAUAGCUACAGUGCCACCAGCUACGAGAGCAGCGUGCGGUCCUCGAUGCAAUGGCCGAUUUCCAAAAAGAGCGUCAUCAAGCUACCGAUUGGCGAUCGAACCAAACCCUACUCAUCGCUGCUAGUUGCCACCGGAUCAGCCAUUUCCUUCCUCGCGGUGAACCGUAAGAAAAUCCCCAACCUGCGCCACAAGGAUGCGAUGGCCUGGAAAUGCAAUCCCGAUGGAAUCGUCCACACGCUGGGAACGGCCACGUACAAUCUGUGCUUCGGAAGAACCACCAUCAAGCACGAGUUUCAUCUCGUACAGAAUCUUGUCAACCUGGAGUAUGAUGGCAUGUUGGGGUGCGACUUCGUAGUGAAAUAUGGAUGCUCCAUCAACUUCGAGCGCUAUCUGAUUACGAUUAAUUUUGACUAAUAGUAGUGUAAAGCAUGUGGAAUUUUGCUACAUACAAUCUAAUAUGAACUUUACAAAACUGAACUUCACAUAGCGUUAUCUGCAAGCAGAUAGAACAUGGUUCUAUUACUGGUGUAAUAGUUUUUCCAUUAUUAUUCAUUUACAUGCCUUGCCUAAUGAACUCAUGUAUUACCAGGCCAUGAAUAAAAUAAUGAACUAACAUCAAUCAUUGUUAACAAAAAGUCAUAUGAAAUAGUUGCAAAAUUUUUAUACGAACCCUUGCAUUACGCAACGAACAGAUUUGGAGCCAUCAUGAAGGUUCGUGCGAUCCCCUGUAUUCCGUACACCGCAACGACACAACCGUCUUAAGGAUGCGUUUAGUUUUCAGCUGCCGGCUGCUGGAAAGGAGCCGAAUUAUUUUACCCAAGGAUUUUUGUCCGCCAUCUCACAGCACAAAGGAAAAAGAAAAGGUAAGCAAAUGGGACCGGGCGAACCGACGGCGGCACCGAGAAUGCAAGACGCGAAAUUAAUCCUAUCAAAUAAUCGGCCAGAUGACAAUGUCCUAGAGUUUCUCGCUUGCUGGGAUGCUUGUUUGCUGCUGGCUCCACUUGGAUUGCCCUUUCCGCCUUAAAGGAUAGCGACCGCCCGCGAGUAGUGCGCCCGAGUCAUAGUAGGCGGACGAGCGAAAAUUCAAAUUUGCAUAAAUUCCACCAUGACACCGCGGGUUAGCGCGCGGAACCAGGCCAUGCUCAGGACCGUGCACCCCGGGGUGUAGUGGGUGAAUUUGGGUGUGUUUUUUGCUUUCAUUUAUUUUCUUCUUGCUUUGUUGUGGUCCUUUCUUCCUCCCCAAAAAAAAACCGCGACCAACCCUCCCCAUGUUGUUGUCGUGCGGCCUGAUCCCGUCGUGCGCCGGAUGAACAUAAAAGCACAAGACGGGGGAAGGACAACAAACCACCCGGAUUGGUAUCUGUUUUUCUUAGAUUCAAAAUUGAAUUAAAGCAAGUCACCUAGAAACCCCCGACAGUACCCCGGCGCACAGCAGCUGUCCUGAGGUAGGUGUUUGUUUUUUGUUCUUUUAAUGCUUUCCGGCGGUUGCUCACUGUCCCUCCCGCCGAGAGGCUAAGCGGAAUAGCAAAAGGACACGCAGAAGUACGCGCGGCGAGAAAACGCGACGAAUUAGCGAAGCUCAAGAUGGAGCUUCUUCCCCUAAAUUGAACCGGAAUUCAAUUUAACUGUCACUGCCCGGUGUGUUGGCCGACCGGAAGCAUCUUUUUGGAAUUGGUUUGUAGUGAAAGACGAAUAUUUCUUGGCGUUAGGAGAGAGCUUUGUUUUUGAAAAAGGUAGAGAAAAACUUAUAUAGUAGUUUAGGUGAGUUUUAGCGUAUUUUUGAGCAAUCAAAAGCCAUAAAUUCAUUAAACUUGAAUUUCAGUAUCAAUUCCAACCACCCUCUUUUAGUUGCAAGAAAUAUAAAUAUCUUUCUUGCCACUCACCUGCCAUAUUUUCCUCACAAAUUCGUGUCCAAAGAUGUCACCGGCAAGUUUCAAAUUUCCCAACCAUCUUUAACGCUAAUUAUUCCCCUCGUUCGCUUGUUAGCGCUUGUAUCGUCCGCCAUCUUCGUAAUGCAACACCCAUGUAGUUCUCUUCCCUUUUCUAAAGCAAGAAAAAAAGCUCAAAAACACACUCUCCGAACCAGAAUGAAUAAUGGUGUCCCGUAUGUGGCCACAAACUGCAUUGUGCGACGGAAUUAAAACAAAACUAAAAAAGCACACACACCUAUAUGACACGAUGGAAGAAAAACGCGCGACCGCCGCCGAAAAAGAAACGACACAUGAUUGAUGAAAUCUUCCGACUGUCGUUGACAGUUAUGAAAUAUAUACCACGGGCGCUCGCGGGCAGCCCCACCAAGACACACGGCUGUAGGGCUGAAACAGGGCGCUCAGCAUGAAUGAUAGCUGUACAACAUGGUCACUUAUUUGUGACCUGCUCUCUCCAUCACCGACCGCUCCACUGAGGAGAGGCGUGAUCGAACGACUUAUGGUUUAUGUUUUACAGCGUGCUGCGGGUACCAUAGCGACCGUGCGACAGUGAAAGCAUGAAUUUCCCCCCGAGAAAGAUGGAUGGUUUUUUUAUGCGUUUGCACUUGCACGCUUGCUAAGGAAGGUAUAUGGAAGGAGUGUCGUAGCUUUCCUUUUUCUCUCUCUCUCUCUUUCUCUCUCUCUCUCUCUCUCUCUCUCUCGCUCUCUCUCUCUUCCUUUAAUUACCGAUCGAGCGUCAAUGAUAGCGGUUUAUAAACCGCAACAUAUUUAAUCACCUCAACUGCUGACCACAUUUCCUUCCCGGUCAAACGACUUCAUCCCGGCAGGGAGCGUAAUGAUGGAGUUAAACGUUUUACGACUGCCCGCUUCGCGUCCCUUUCCGGCCGAAAAAGGGGUGAUUGCAAGAGGGAAAGAUUCUGUCGAACCACUUAGCCACACAAACACACACACACACACACACACCAUCGAAGGUUCCAAGGUCCAUCCCGUUCGUACAUUUGUUGCGGUUCGAAAUGUUAAUUUUACUACGCUUUUACUUACCGAGGCCCAUACCGAGUGGGCUGAGUUCCCCCGGGGAGCUGCGCGGUUACCACAAAUUUGUUAGAGGAAAAGGGGACGCAUCCGCAUCGUUUUGUAAAUCGGAGCUGCGGUUGCCGUUAAGUGACCCCGGCUCCUAGGUACAGAGGGGGGAGCAUGUUUGUGUGUGCGUGCGUGUUUUUGCGGUUUUUCCUUAACAGCCCUCUCUCGGAUGCAUGGGAAAAACUGGCAAACCGAUAAAGAGAUAAAGUGUUAUUGGGAGUUUGGUUGGGUUGGAUAAAAUGAAAAUGGUUUCCCGCAGUAACAACAGGGCGAUUAAUGUUGGCCAACAUGUGUUUUAGUGCUGUUUUUUUUUUUUUAUUAUGCAUUUUUUAAUGGUUCAAGUGUGUUCUAAGGGGUUGGUUUAUAAUUGGUGAAAGAUAAGAAUUAAAUAAUAAUAGUGAAAAUAAUAGGUGAAAGAUAAGAAUAAGAAUUAAAGCAAUUUGCAUAUUUAUAAUAAUGGCAUGUGUACUAGAAAUUACUUUUUUUAGGUCAAAUUUUAAUCACAUAUUGUCCUUUUUGUCCUUUGUGUCCUGUCUUCAGGAUUGUUGUGUUAUCUUAGAUUUUAUUGAAUCAUUCCACUGCAAUGUCUCACAUUUGAAGUGUAAAAAUAUAUUUUUUCUUUUAUUAUUGUUAUGCUUUUAACAGAAAUGUUUUAAAUUGUUACAGAAAUGUUACUCGUCUCUGUAUAAAUUUGUCUCUUAAAGGAGCUUAGAAUAACAUUUUCGCAUGCAAAACAAAAUAAUCAUCAAAUUUUUAAUAUGUAUCAUUUAUUUUUCCACCCAAUUUGAUUGAUAAUAUACUUUUCUAAAACAUUUCUUUGUCCUAUUAUGGAACACUCUUCUACUGCGAGUGUGAUCUUGCUGACAGCCGGGCCGUAAAUAACGCUCUAAUUUACCAAUUGUUCCACACUUGUUCACCCUAGCAAAUGAUUGCCGUACUUAGAGCCAAAUUUACUACCACUCGCUACUUUCAUCGAUGAUAAACGGGGCCUCCCCUCCUGAUUGCCCUCUUCCACCACUUCCAAGCAGUACACAUCUUUCGAAAACCAUCUCUCCACGCUUUCAAGUGCACCAAAAGGGGGCAUGGGGCUGUCUCUUUACUUUAGCACGGUGAAAGAUUUUCCGGCCCAUCAUCACCAUCAUCUUAACGCACGCAGUUUCGCACGCAUCUCUCACGGCCACGGUUCACAUCCGGAUACGGGAACACGCACUCCCUCCCAUCGAGUCCCGCAACGCUCCGCAAUAAGCCCGCAAUAAUUUCCUUAUUUUUAUUCGGGCUAGAACAUAUUCAUUGCGUUAUAAAUACCAAUUUACGCUAAAUAAAUAUUUCGUUUUAUUGCCCUUUCAAUGCGACCGGGGGGCCGUAGAGAGGGAGAGUGGGAGCCGUCCCAUCCCUUUACCAGCCUUUCUUUUGGGGCGACCUUUCGUCGACGACGACGACGACGAUGUGUGUGCUACGUUCCUCCCGUUGGCUGUUUGGCGGGAGUUGGUUGUCUGGCGUUGCGGCGUGUUUAAGGAUGCUUUUUGGGGGCUGCACCGAUAGAGAAAGAUACACCGAACCUUUAAAAGACGCGCCGUCGUUAUUCCCACGUGCCCAUCUGUUUUCUGGGGUCGUUCUCAUGGGGGGAGGAACACGGGGAAAGUGAAAAGAUGACGGAAAAAGUCAUCCCGUCGCCAGCGUUGUUUGUUGUUGCUGUUGAUAUGGCUGGUGGUUUCUUAGCCCGUCUAACAACCAGCGAAAGGGCAUAAUACACAAACACACAUACACACACAUUAACCAUCCCGUCUGGUAUGAGACAGGGCGCACAGAAUGGCACGUGAGAAGACAUUUACCCCGUGUGGAGUGGCAUUUAAGGCGCACAUACCGCGGGCCGGCCAGAAUCGGCGGGUUUAAGGUGAGAUGUGAAGCAAAUGAUGUGUGCAUUCCAAGGCUGAACUGUGAAUAUAUAAUGCUAUAAACAGCAGAAGAUUCAAAGGAUGAAAACAAUACACACAACUUAUUAUUUAUAUCAUUUACUAAGACGUUUUAGAACAAUUUUCAUUAAUUUAUCGCUUCCUUUAAGAGAUGAGGAUCACUAUUGAUGAUUUUAAUCAACUUAUUUAGAUGUUCAGGUGCUCGCGUGUUUUAUAAUUUUCCAGCAUAUAUUGACUCUUACAAUAAUUUUAAAAAAAACUAACAAUCAACUAAACAUAAGCAUAAGAGCAAAAAUAAUUAAAAACUAAGAAGAUUCAAAGAAAUUGGGCAAAAAAGUUGCCAAGGCUAAUUAGUAACAUUAACUAGCUACAAGACACUGAUCGUGAAAAGGGAAAAGUGAAAAGAAUGCAAAGGAUAAAAAAGACUAGAACAAAAAACUAGUCAUGAGUAAUUAAAUAGUAACAAGUAAUUGGACAUUGGAAUGGAAUGGACGAAUCUGUUAAAAGAGUGAAUAAAAAAUAGUUGAAAAGUUU
Molecule: long non-coding RNA, 6048 nt
Organism: Anopheles gambiae (African malaria mosquito)
Lineage: Eukaryota; Metazoa; Arthropoda; Insecta; Diptera; Culicidae
Exons: 3
Source: RefSeq, a predicted model, not a curated record